Molecule: ribosomal RNA, 290 nt
Filed under: uncultured bacterium
Lineage: Bacteria
Description: partial 16S ribosomal RNA
Rfam family: Bacterial small subunit ribosomal RNA
Source: RNAcentral
AAUGAACGCUGGCGGCAUGCCUAACACAUGCAAGUCGAACGAAGCCUUCGGGCUUAGUGGCGCACGGGUGCGUAACGCGUGGGAAUCUGCCCUUGGGUUCGGAAUAACAGUGGGAAACUACUGCUAAUACCGAAUGAUGUCGCAAGACCAAAGAUUUAUCGCCCAGGGAUGAGCCCGCGUAGGAUUAGCUAGUUGGUGUGGUAAAAGCGCACCAAGGCGACGAUCCUAGCUGGUCUGAGAGGAUGAUCAGCCACACUGGGACUGAGACACGGCCCAGACUCCUACGGGGG